GGCGACCGGCGCACGGGUGAGUAACACGUAUCCAACCUGCCCAUGACUCGGGGAUAGCCUUUCGAAAGAAAGAUUAAUACCCGAUGGUAUAUGUUUCCUGCAUGGGGAAUAUAUUAAAGAAUUUCGGUGAUGGAUGGGGAUGCGUUCCAUUAGUUUGUUGGCGGGGUAACGGCCCACCAAGACUUCGAUGGAUAGGGGUUCUGAGAGGAAGGUCCCCCACAUUGGAACUGAGACACGGUCCAAACUCCUACGGGAGGCAGCAGUGAGGAAUAUUGGUCAAUGGACGAGAGUCUGAACCAGCCAAGUAGCGUGAAGGAUGACUGCCCUUUGGGUUGUAAACUUCUUUUAUAUGGGAAUAAAGUGGGGUAUGCAUACCCUUUUGUAUGUACCAUUAUGAAUAAGCAUCGGCUAACUCCGUGCCAGCAGCCGCGGUAAUACGGAGGAUGCGAGCGUUAUCCGGAUUUAUUGGUUUUAAAGGGAGCGUAGGUGGGCGAUUAAGUCAGUUGUGAAAGUUUGGGGCUCAACCUUAAAAUUGCAGUUGAUACUGAUUGUCUUGAGUGCGUUAAAGGUGGGCGGAAUUC
This 581-nucleotide ribosomal RNA is filed under the name uncultured Parabacteroides sp. Its description in RNAcentral is "bacterial SSU rRNA". It matches the Rfam family "Bacterial small subunit ribosomal RNA", at positions 90 to 669 of the family's 1533-position model. Lineage: Bacteria; Pseudomonadati; Bacteroidota; Bacteroidia; Bacteroidales; Tannerellaceae. The record is from RNAcentral.